Molecule: long non-coding RNA, 558 nt
Filed under: Glycine max (soybean)
Lineage: Eukaryota; Viridiplantae; Streptophyta; Magnoliopsida; Fabales; Fabaceae
Description: long non-coding RNA (GMAX_LNC004160)
Source: RNAcentral
UUUUCAUCUUAUAAAAUGGUCUAUGGUCCAUACCCUUAAACACAAAUCACUUGCUUGGUCUUGGAGCUUGUCAUGCCACUCUCUUUUGAACUUUUCACCCAACUCUUUUUCUCCUGCAAAACUUGAAUUACCUUCCGCCAAACCUUGUUUUUCAAGUCUCUAGAGGUACAUAAAUGUAUACUUUGCUUCUUCUUCUUCUUUUUUUUACUUAACUCAAACUUCUAUGUGCUACUUUUAUUUAAUGCUUUGAGUGAAACCAGGUAACAUACUUUGGGAAAACCAUGAAUGGCGGAAAUGGAACCACUCCAACAAUGGUGUCACCACCUUCACCACAUAGCUCAUGUGGGUCCACUAAGCCCAACCAAGAGGACAACAAUAACAACAACAAUGAAGACGAAAAUAACAACAAAAACAACGGCGGCGAUGACAACAACCACAACAACAAUCACAACAACAACAUCAUCAUCAUCAUCAACAACAACAACAACAACAACAAUAACAACAAUGGUGACAACAACAACAACAACAAUGGCGACAACAACAACAGCCACCACCACC